RNAcentral lists this transfer RNA (64 nucleotides) under Mahmutkashgaria sulcatus. RNAcentral's name for it is "tRNA-Met". Lineage: Eukaryota; Metazoa; Arthropoda; Insecta; Hemiptera; Delphacidae. The record is from RNAcentral.
AAAAAGAUAAGCUAAAUAAAGCUAUUGGGCCCAUAACCCAACUAUGAUUUUAAAUCUCUUUUUA